ACUAUCUAUUGUGUGUUAAAUUAUGUAUGACCUCAAUGGCUCAGCUAAAUGCUAAUGGUUGAUUUGUAUACAUGUAUGUUUGAAAAGAUGCAUACAUUACGGACCGGGACACUUGAAUGAUUAUCUGCAAUAAUGGCUACGUUACGCUCAUCUCUAUUCGCCUUGCCCAAAAAUCUUAGGAGCCAACCAUGCCCCAGGAUAUUGUUGGUUCUACCGCCAGCUUUGAGCAGUCAAGGCAGCCGGCUGCUGCAUUCGCAGGCCCUCAGUCAAAACCUGCAUUAUAUCAGCAAUGAGAAGGACAAGCUCACUGCGGAUCCUGUCAC
Long non-coding RNA from Ostrinia nubilalis (European corn borer), 323 nucleotides. RefSeq lists it as uncharacterized. The record is from RefSeq and is a predicted model, not a curated record. NCBI's taxonomy places the organism in Eukaryota, Metazoa, Arthropoda, Insecta, Lepidoptera, Crambidae. The transcript is spliced from 3 exons.